CCUCUUCCUCGCCUUUGAGGCAGUAGCGUUCGAAGUCGUUGCCUUAGAAGAAGACUUGGCCUCCAUAGGUUUUGAAGCGAUCGGCUUCACAUUCGCGACGGUUUUGGGAGGCGGAGGAGGAUCCGAGUCGGAAUCGGUGUCGGGGUCGUCGGAAUCCUCCUCAGAUUCAGAACCAUCAUCCUGCUCCUGAAUCGCUGGCUUUUUCAGCUGAGCUUGGGAUCGUUGAG
RNAcentral lists this long non-coding RNA (227 nucleotides) under Linum usitatissimum (flax). RNAcentral describes it as "long non-coding RNA (LUSI_LNC000307)". Lineage: Eukaryota; Viridiplantae; Streptophyta; Magnoliopsida; Malpighiales; Linaceae. The record is from RNAcentral.